Molecule: ribosomal RNA, 457 nt
Filed under: uncultured bacterium
Lineage: Bacteria
Description: bacterial SSU rRNA
Rfam family: Bacterial small subunit ribosomal RNA
Source: RNAcentral
AACGAACGCUGGCGGCAUGCCUAACACAUGCAAGUCGAACGGGAUCCAGGCUUCGGCCUGGUGAGAGUGGCGGACGGGUGAGUAACACGUGGGAACCUGCCUUUUGGUUCGGGAUAACCGCGGGAAACUGCGGCUAAUACCGGAUGCUCCCGAGAGGGGAAAGAUUUAUCGCCAGAAGAGGGGCCCGCGUCCGAUUAGGUAGUUGGUGAGGUAAUGGCUCACCAAGCCGACGAUCGGUAGCUGGUCUGAGAGGAUGAUCAGCCACACUGGGACUGAGAUACGGCCCAGACUCCUACGGGAGGCAGCAGUGGGGAAUAUUGGACAAUGGGGGCAACCCUGAUCCAGCAAUGCCGCGUGAGUGAUGAAGGCCUUAGGGUUGUAAAGCUCUUUUGCCAGGGAAGAUGAUGACUGUACCUGGAGAAUAAGCCCCGGCUAACUUCGUGCCAGCAGCCGCGAU